UAUUAUAACCCAAUGAUUAGAAAUGGCUUGGCGGGUUUUAAAGCUUCAAAUUUAAGCUAAACCCUCAACUUUGCAAAUGGUCUAAAGAAGCCAAAUGGGUUAUUAAACACGAAUAUGACUUUGUUUUUGGCUAACAAAAGGACAAUUGUGUGACUUUUGAAGCUUCUUGAGGGUGGUUGUUGAUUACACUUUCACAUUUCCCAUGUGAUCCACCAAUUAUGCUCCUUUUUUUAUCAUUCGUCAAUGGAAGUUUUAAAGUCUUCACUAUAACAAAGGGAAUAAAGCUAGUAGCAUGAGAGAUUUUUUUCUAGAGUGGGGUAUUCAAGCGGUGCUGCAUCAAUGUGAUUAUCUCUUUUAUCACGUGAAUUCAUAUGUAUUAUUUGAAAUCAUAUCAAUAUAGGAAUUAUUUGUGAG
This 414-nucleotide long non-coding RNA is filed under the name Malus domestica (apple). Its description in RNAcentral is "long non-coding RNA (MDOM_LNC014042)". The record is from RNAcentral. Lineage: Eukaryota; Viridiplantae; Streptophyta; Magnoliopsida; Rosales; Rosaceae.